AGAGUUUGAUCCUGGCUCAGGAUGAACGCUGGCGGCGUGCCUAAUACAUGCAAGUCGAGCGAACGGACGAGAAGCUUGCUUCUCUGAUGUUAGCGGCGGACGGGUGAGUAACACGUGGAUAACCUACCUAUAAGACUGGGAUAACUUCGGGAAACCGGAGCUAAUACCGGAUAAUAUUUUGAACCGCAUGGUUCAAAAGUGAAAGACGGUCUUGCUGUCACUUAUAGAUGGAUCCGCGCUGCAUUAGCUAGUUGGUAAGGUAACGGCUUACCAAGGCAACGAUGCAUAGCCGACCUGAGAGGGUGAUCGGCCACACUGGAACUGAGACACGGUCCAGACUCCUACGGGAGGCAGCAGUAGGGAAUCUUCCGCAAUGGGCGAAAGCCUGACGGAGCAACGCCGCGUGAGUGAUGAAGGUCUUCGGAUCGUAAAACUCUGUUAUUAGGGAAGAACAUAUGUGUAAGUAACUGUGCACAUCUUGACGGUACCUAAUCAGAAAGCCACGGCUAACUACGUGCCAGCAGCCGCGGUAAUACGUAGGUGGCAAGCGUUAUCCGGAAUUAUUGGGCGUAAAGCGCGCGUAGGCGGUUUUUUAAGUCUGAUGUGAAAGCCCACGGCUCAACCGUGGAGGGUCAUUGGAAACUGGAAAACUUGAGUGCAGAAGAGGAAAGUGGAAUUCCAUGUGUAGCGGUGAAAUGCGCAGAGAUAUGGAGGAACACCAGUGGCGAAGGCGACUUUCUGGUCUGUAACUGACGCUGAUGUGCGAAAGCGUGGGGAUCAAACAGGAUUAGAUACCCUGGUAGUCCACGCCGUAAACGAUGAGUGCUAAGUGUU
Molecule: ribosomal RNA, 834 nt
Filed under: Staphylococcus aureus 18439-62
Lineage: Bacteria; Bacillati; Bacillota; Bacilli; Caryophanales; Staphylococcaceae
Description: bacterial SSU rRNA
Rfam family: Bacterial small subunit ribosomal RNA
Source: RNAcentral